RNAcentral lists this ribosomal RNA (468 nucleotides) under uncultured bacterium. RNAcentral describes it as "partial 16S ribosomal RNA". It matches the Rfam family "Bacterial small subunit ribosomal RNA", at positions 28 to 507 of the family's 1533-position model. The record is from RNAcentral.
GACGAACGCUGGCGGCGUGCUUAACACAUGCAAGUCGAACGGAAAGGCCCUGCUUUUGUGGGGUGCUCGAGUGGCGAACGGGUGAGUAACACGUGAGUAACCUGCCCUUGACUUUGGGAUAACUUCAGGAAACUGGGGCUAAUACCGGAUAGGAGCUCCUGCUGCAUGGUGGGGGUUGGAAAGUUUCGGCGGUUGGGGAUGGACUCGCGGCUUAUCAGCUUGUUGGUGGGGUAGUGGCUUACCAAGGCUUUGACGGGUAGCCGGCCUGAGAGGGUGACCGGCCACAUUGGGACUGAGAUACGGCCCAGACGCCUACGGGAGGCAACAGUGGGGAAUAUUGCACAAUGGGCGGAAGCCUGAUGCAGCAACGCCGCGUGCGGAAUGACGGCCUUCGGGUUGUAAACCGCUGUCGCCUGUGACGAAGCGUGAGUGACGGUAAUGGGUAAAGAAGCAGCGGCUAACUACGUG